GUGAGGAAUCUUGCGCAAUGGGGGCAACCCUGACGCAGCAACGCCGCGUGAGUGAGGAAGGUCUUCGGAUUGUAAAGCUCUGUCGGAUGGAAAGAACCGCAUAGAGGUAAACAGCCUCUAUGUCUGACGGUACCAUCAAAGGAAGCACCGGCUAACUCCGUGCCAGCAGCCGCGGUAAUACGGGGGGUGCAAGCGUUGUUCGGAAUUAUUGGGCGUAAAGAGCGUGUAGGCGGCCGGAUGUGUCAGAUGUGAAAGCCCUGGGCUUAACUCAGGAAGUGCAUUUGAAACUGUCCGGCUGGAGUAGGGGAGAGGGAAGUGGAAUUCCUGGUGUAGAGGUGAAAUUCGUAGAUAUCAGGAGGAACACCGGUGGCGAAGGCGACUUCCUGGCCCUAUACUGACGCUGAGACGCGAGAGCGUGGGUAGCAAACAGGAUUAGAUACCCGGGUAGUCC
RNAcentral lists this ribosomal RNA (451 nucleotides) under uncultured bacterium. Its description in RNAcentral is "bacterial SSU rRNA". It matches the Rfam family "Bacterial small subunit ribosomal RNA", at positions 354 to 796 of the family's 1533-position model. The record is from RNAcentral.